Molecule: long non-coding RNA, 5978 nt
Organism: Oryctolagus cuniculus (rabbit)
Lineage: Eukaryota; Metazoa; Chordata; Mammalia; Lagomorpha; Leporidae
Source: RefSeq, a predicted model, not a curated record
GAGCCAGAAUCAGUUAUCAUGCUGACUCUAAUCAUUAUCCUAAUUCCUCUACAUUCGGCUGCAUCACAAUACAAAGCCACCUUCAAUUAAGGACCUGCCAGGCAGUCUGCGGCCUUGAAAGAGACUUUAGUUUUGUGCCAAACACUGAGGCAGGCUCAACACGACUGUUCUUUACAGUCCAACUGCAGAGGCACCAGGGCUGAGAGCUGGCUGUGUGCGUGAGCUCCGGCCCGCGUUCUCCAGCCACUACCCCACAAUGCCUCCCUCUCUGUGCCGUCUGCCUCUACACGAACUCUGGGAGGGGAAAAAAGUGAGCUGAGGGAGUUGCUUCUGUACUUCCUGGACAAAAGCCCUGCGAACUCCUGGAUAACCUGCUCUCCACACAGCAGGCGACAGAUGCACCUGAGCCAAGUGACAGGCGCAGUCCCUCCAAGCGUGGAAAAUGCCUGACACUAAGAAAAAGGCGAGCUCGUGACGUUUCCAACGACAAAACAGCAGCUAAAUUCCCGAUCUCCUUGAACGCCUCCCAAAUAAAGAUCUCGUGUCUGUUUCACUUAGGAACAAAGUUCAAUUUCAAAACGCCCGUCAAAAAGGAGUGGAGCCUAUCAUCCCACCCAACAGUAAGUCACUGACUUCCCCUGGCCAGCACCCGCGUUACUUUCAGGCCAGAGAGCCUUCUUAGCACAACACAACUUCGACAGAAAAGGCAGGAUGGGGACCCCACUCCCUCCCCAGCUAUUCAGCAACAAGCGAUUACAGGCGCCCGUCGCGGCGCACCGGAGCGCUGGGGCGAGAACCCACGGACGCGCAUCAUGUUAGACCAAAGGCUUAGAUUCAGUCACAGCUACUGAUGUGCACGCCAGCAAGAACUGUUACCAUCAAAUGGAUAUGAUACAACAAUGAGAAAAAGACCUGAAUAUGAAGGGUUGUCCCCUAAAUUUCAGUACUGAAGAGGGGCAGGAUUUGUUAGUUCCUACCUAAAACCUAAGGGAUCAACUCAAAACCAGAAAGCAAAGGUGUUGGGACCAGCGCUGUGGCAUAGUAGGCUAAGCCUCCACAUGUAGCGCAGUAUCUCAUAUGGGCUCCAGGUCGUGUCCCAGCUGCUCCUCUUCUGACCCAGCUCUCUGAUGAUGGCCUGGGAAAGCAGUGGAGGAUAGCCCAACUGCUUGGGCCCCUGCACCCACAUGAGAGACCCGGAAGAAGCUCCUGGCUUCAGAUUGGUCCAACUCUGGCUGUUGCAGCCAUUUGGAGCUGAGCCAGACCUCGCAAGUUCUCCGGAUCUUCAAGCGAGUCCCAGUGGAGACACUUCUGAAUGCUCAGCUGAAAUGCGGCAGUCCAGUCCUUGGCUGGAGACUGUGUGCCCCGCCCGUAGGAGCCAAGCCUCCGGUUGUCACUGUCCUUCCCAAGGCUAUUGGACAGGAAGCCCAAGAGCACAAGUGUAGAGCAGCGGAUGCACAGUGUAUAAGCUUUGGUGCUAGCCCUCGGUUAUCCUAUCACCCUGGGUUUCUGCUACACAAAGAAGUAGUUCUCACCAAGGCUUCCCUCUUGUGGGAUGGCCUCAGCAAUGUGCUAAUGUUUUAAAAGAUUAACAGGCAGGCAUUGUUUUGUAGCGGGGAAAGCUGCCACCUGAGACUCCACCACAGGCUUCCCAUAUGGACUCCAGUUCAAGUCCUGACUGCUCCACUUCCGAUCCAGCUCUCUGCUAUGGCCUGGGAAAGCAGUAGAAGAUGGCCCAAGUCCUUGGGUCACUGCACCCACUUGGGAGACCUGGAAGAAGCUGCUGGCUCCUGGCUUCAGACGGGCCCAGCCCUGGCCAUUGCAGCCAUUUGGGAAGUGAACUAGUCAAUGGAAAACCUCUCUUUGUCUCUCCCUGUCUCUCUGUAACUCUGCCUUUCAAAUAAAUAAAUAAAUAAAUCUUUAAAAAAUAAAAAAAUGAAAAGAUUAAUACCUUAAACCCCCUUAGGUAGUAUUCUUCUGUAAGAACUAAGCAAGUCACAGAGACUCUUGGCUAAUUUGUUACAAUUAAGGAAUUGGGAUUUGUAGGGAUAUUUGACUCCUCUGGGACAGAUUCAUAGCAGGCAGUAGAUAUAAUAAAGAGAACACAGUGAGUUCUGAUGGACAGUCUGAAGGAGCUGGGAACCCACAAUAUAUGUCUUGGUUCCUGAAAAAUUUGCCUCUCCAUGGCCCUAUUAUUAAUUAUUUAAUAUUCUUUAUGGAUGAGGAAAUAAAUACUAAAAGUGGGUACAUUAUCAAUAGUGAGAAACUCUAUAAGGUUUUAAAAAUAUAUGUAUAUUUAUUUAUUUGAAAGGCAGAGUUACAGAGAGUGAGAGAGAAAGAGAUCUUCCAUCCGCUGGUUCACUCCUCAAAUGGCCACAAUGGACAGGGCUGGGCCAGGCCGAAACCAGGAGCCUGGAACUCCAUUUGGGUCUCCCACAUGGAUGGCAGGGACCAAGUACUUGAGCCAUCAUCCACUGCCUUCCCAGGCUCAUUAGCAGAGCAGCCAGGACUUGACCCAGCAUUCCAGCAGUUUAACCUACUGCACCACAAUGUCAGCCCCUCAUCAGAGAUUUGAUCUGUAUAUAGAUUUCAUAACAUUUAUAAUCUUAAAAAAGUAGCUUUACAAAACCAAGUUGUCCCAAACAUGCUUAAAUGUUUUCUAAUAACUGAUCUGAGUACCAGUCUUUAAAUUCAAAUUGAAGUUGAAUAAAAUAAAGACUCAAAUCCCUCAGUGACAUAAGCUGCAUAUCGAGGGUUCAGUAGUUACGUGGGGCUGGUGGCCAUUUCCUGGACCAAUGCAUGGGAAGUGGGCAGGAGCUCUGAGGGGCUGGAGAUGAAGCAAAGAGUGAGGAAAGGCAUCCCAAGGCAGGAGGAACAGCCUGGGAGUUGGCGUGUGCCUCGCGUGAGCCUAGGACAACAUGGAGGCCAGUUUGCUCAGAACCCAUGGGGUGAGGUUUAAGAGACAGGUGGAGUCAGAUUGGGAAGGGUUUAUAUAGGAGUAUGUUAAGAUGUUUUGCUUGUUUGUGUGUGUGUGUGUGUGUGUGUGUGUGUGUGUUUGCUUUGUUUUGUUUUGGGAGGUUUUAAAAAAUGUUUAAUUUAUUUGAAAGGAAGACACACACAGAGGUCUUCCAUCACACCAGUACACUCCCCCCAAAUGUGGGCUGGCUGGAAGCCAGGAAUUUAAUCUGGAGUCUUCCAAUAAGUACUUAAACCAUCACCAUUGCUUUCCAAGGUAAGCAUUAGCAGGAGACUGGAAUUGGGAGAGGAGCCAGGCCUCGAAGCAGCCACUUCAAUAUGGGACAUGGGAGUCCCAAGCUGUGAUGUUAGGGUUUUAUCCCAUCCACGAAAAGGAACCGCUCAAAUAUUUUUGAGCAGGGGGCGGGUGACACCUGCAGCAUUUUAGGUGCCAGUGCCCGUGAGGCGAUGGAGAGGGCAGGAUGGAGGUGGCUGUGGAGCCUUGGGUGUGCUGACAGCACCUGGCUAGCAUAUCAGCAGAUAGAACCAUCCAGAGGCUUUACAAAGCCAGGAUCUGCAGGCCUUAGACACUGACCAAGUUAUUUAGAAAGAGGGCCAGGAAAGAGGUGGAGGCGGGGGAGUCUUGGAGCCUGUGUGCCUGGGAGACACUGAGAAGUUAGGAAAUGGCUUCCUGGGACAGCAGCUGAACCACCUGGUGUCUAUUUUUUUAAAUUAUUUUAAAGCAAAGACAUAAUUUAUAGUACCUGCCCCACCCUUUGAGUCACACAGUGACUACUCCGGACUUUGCCCUGAGAUUGUAAGAGACACUCCUGAGUUCAAGGGAACUCUCGGAGGGGCAGGGUCCAGGCUGGAGCUGAAUCGAGGGCCCUUCGUUCUCAGAAAGGGCUAGCGGCAGCCCCCUGCUUCCUGACUGCUUUGUUACAGCCCCGCCAUCCUCCCUGGGAAGGCCUAGCUGCCCAGGUGAAUCCAGGUUUGCUGGGAGACAGGAGGAAUUGGCUCCUGCAAUCGUCCAUGUCCGCAGCUCCCUACGGUCCCCAGCCUCCAGGUGUACACAGUCCAGAUCAGAAGCAGAUAUCCCGGGGCUCAUCCAGGUGGGGACCCAUCCACCCACUGUGCUCUCUGUGACAUGAAACAAGUACAACACUGCGCUGUCGAGAGUGUGGGGAGUGCCCGCUCUGGGCCAGGCAUGCUGCUGGGUGUUGGGCAUGAAGGGGAAGGAGUUUAUGAGGAGUUUACAGUGAGCAGGGCGGAUCAGCCUCCCGGUCGCCUCUGUGCCAAGGGCUCUGUGCCAUGUUGGGGGCAGGCGCAGCCGGCCAGGGCUGUGUGUGGGAGUUGAAAUCUCUCGGCCAGGCUGGGAGCUCAGUGUGAGUCUUGAAAGAGGAAGUGAGGAGGAGGAGUGGGAGGGAGGACGUUCUGGGCUGGGAUCAGCAUGGGGUGAAGACAGGGGAGUGCAAUGAUAACGGGAUGGCCGUGCCACAGUGGCACUGGUGGGUGUGUGCUGGGCACUGUGAUUAGUCUCUCCUCACUUCUCAGAUAGGCAAACUGAAACUAUGAGCAGUAAAAUGCCCCUCUCCAAGGUCACGCUGCAGGGAUGGGGCUGGUUCAAACCCAUAAAUAGCCCCGACUCAGGCCACCUCUUUAAGCAGCAGGGAUCUGAGAACCACACAGCAGCCAGUUGGGAGCAUUUGGAGAACCCACCAUUAUGCGCAAACAUCAGGUUUUGUUUCUGUCAUGGAUUAAGGGUGCCACGUGGCAAUCCCUGUUGCUACUUGGAAUAAACCAGAAGACCCGACCUGGUGCUUCUCCAGACAGGACACGAACAGGACUCCCGAGCUACUGACAGUAGCUUGGCACAGCAGCUGUGUGGGGCCGGCAGCGUGCAGGGCUGCCCCCACCCCAACCUGUCCAGGCAGCCCCCAGCUGGGUGGGCCCAGGCAGCCACUUCCUCCUGAUGCUGGCUGGGCACAGGCCCAGGCUCGGGCUUUUCUAGGUCAGGCGAUUCCGUCUUCAGCCAGGCCCGAAGAUAGAGUCUGUGUAAACACAGACUAUCUCCCACUCCAACAUUUCCUUUGAGAGGCUCCAUUCCAACUUCUUAUCAACCCGAGCUUCCUACUCUGAUAUCAGGAAGCUAUUAAAGUCCCUUUCCUGGUGCUGCCUUGACCCCACCAAAACAUGCGUGUGUGGAAGCAAAUGUCCCUUAAGGCAGACUUCACGCUCCCCAAACCCACCGCCCAGCCUCAAGCCCCCACGUCGAACCCGCCUGCGGGGCCUCGAGCCUGUCUUCAGCCAAAGCCGUGCGCCCGAGCGCCUCCUUUCUACGCCAGCUACUUUCAACGCCUUGUGCUCAGCUUCUCAGGCCUUCCGCGACCUUAUUCACAUUUUCCUCUUCGUCCUCUUUCCAAGCCCUCCCCUCGGUCCUGCUCAUCCCUCCACCUUUUCCCCACACUGUUGCCCUCCUGGAUGGGGAAGUCCUGUCCCCCUCUCCUCCCAAGUCCUUCCACAGGAAGGAACGUGAGGGAGGAGAAAUGGCAAAGGCAGUCUGUCGCUCCCCGUCUUCGUGGGGGAACGACACAAGACCCUACGCUGUUCUUUCGUCUGCUCGGCCCUCCCCGGGUUUGCUGCUGGUUCUUCCCGGGUUGGCUACUAUCCCUUCCACCUCCGUGGAAGGGCAGUUCCCCCUGGCUGCUUUCCCCACUUCCGCAGGGGAGCGGCACACCGCCGGCCGGCUUUUCUCGGGGGCUGCACAGGUGUUCCUUCAGCUAGAUGUUCCUGGUGCAUGCCGUCUCUCUCCUCCUUUAUAGUCCUCCUCCGCCAAUCCUAACUCGGCUGCCCACACGCCGAGUACGCUGCUCUCCUCCAAUCAGUAGCAAGUCCUACAGUUUAUUAGUUGAACUGGAGGCAGCUGUGCGGAAGCUGUUUACUUCUCUCCCAGCGCCAUAUUGUGGGAGAGCAGAUGCAUACAAUAAGUCUUAAUUCCAGUAACUCAGUCUAGUCCGGUUUGCUCC